This 119-nucleotide ribosomal RNA is filed under the name Scophthalmus maximus (turbot). Lineage: Eukaryota; Metazoa; Chordata; Actinopteri; Pleuronectiformes; Scophthalmidae. The record is from RNAcentral.
GCUUACGGCCACACCGCCUGGUUCACGCCCGAUCUCGUUUGAUCUCGGAAGCUAAGAUAGGUUGGGCCUGGUUAGUACUUGGAUGGGAGACUGCCUGGCAAUACCAGGUGCUGUGCUUU